Molecule: ribosomal RNA, 503 nt
Filed under: uncultured bacterium
Lineage: Bacteria
Description: partial 16S ribosomal RNA
Rfam family: Bacterial small subunit ribosomal RNA
Source: RNAcentral
AACGAACGCUGGCGGCGUGCCUAACACAUGCAAGUCGAACGAGAAAGGGGCUUCGGCUCCGAGUAAAGUGGCGCACGGGUGAGUAACACGUGGGUAACCUGCCUCUAAGAUUGGGAUAACUCGUCGAAAGAUGAGCUAAUACCGAAUAAGACCACAGUUCCCGCGGGAACAGGGGUCAAAGGUAGCCUCUGCUUGCAAGCUAUCACUUAGAGAUGGGCCUGCGCACCAUUAGCUAGUUGGUAGGGUAACGGCCUACCAAGGCAAAGAUGGUUAGCUGGUCUGAGAAGAUGAUCAGCCACACUGGAACUGAGACACGGUCCAGACUCCUACGGGAGGCAGCAGUGGGGAAUAUUGCGCAAUGGGCGAAAGCUUGACGCAGCAACGCCGCGUGAGUGAUGAAGGCCUUCGGGUCGUAAAGCUCUGUCGGGAGGAACGAAUGCUCCUGAGGUUAACAGCCUCGGGAGGUGACGGUACCUUCAAAGGAAGCACCGGCUAACUCUGUG